RNAcentral lists this ribosomal RNA (406 nucleotides) under uncultured bacterium. RNAcentral's name for it is "partial 16S ribosomal RNA". It matches the Rfam family "Bacterial small subunit ribosomal RNA", at positions 29 to 526 of the family's 1533-position model. The record is from RNAcentral.
AUUGAACGCUGGCGGCAGGCCUAACACAUGCAAGUCGAACGAGUGGCGGACGGGUGAGUAAUGUCUGGGAAACUGCCUGAUGGAGGGGGAUAACUACUGGAAAAGGUAGCUAAUACCGCAUACCAUCGGAGCGGCCCAGAUGGGAUUAGCGAGUAGGGGGGGUAACGGCGCACCUAGGCGACGAACCCUAGCUGGUCUGAGAGGAUGACCAGCCACACUGGAACUGAGACACGGUCCAGCCUCCUACGGGAGGCAGCAGUGGGGAAUAUUGCACAAUGGGCGCAAGCCUGAUGCAGCCAUGCCGCGUGUAUGAAGAAGGCCUUCGGGUUGUAAAGUACUUUCAGCGGGGAGGCGUUACCCGCAGAAGAAGCACCGGCUAACUCCGUGCCAGCAGCCGCGGUAAUAC